This 253-nucleotide ribosomal RNA is filed under the name uncultured bacterium. RNAcentral's name for it is "partial 16S ribosomal RNA". It matches the Rfam family "Bacterial small subunit ribosomal RNA", at positions 524 to 776 of the family's 1533-position model. The record is from RNAcentral.
UACGUAGGUGACAAGCGUUGUCCGGAUUUACUGGGCGUAAAGAGCGCGCAGGCGGUCGAUCAAGUCGAGUGUGAAAGCCCCCGGCUCAACUGGGGAGGGUCAUUCGAUACUGAUCGACUCGAAGGCAGGAGAGGGUAGUGGAAUUCCCGGUGUAGUGGUGAAAUGCGUAGAUAUUGGGAAGAACACCGGUGGCGAAGGCGGCUCACUGGCUCAUUUCUGACGCUCAGGCGCGACAGCGUGGGGAUCAAACAGG